GGGAGUGAAAUAGAACCUGAAACCCUGCACUUACAAGCUGUGGAAGCACAUUUCGUGUGUGACCGCGUACUUUUUGUAGAACGGGCCAACGAGUUACGUUAAGUAGCAAGGUUAAGCACUUAAGGUGCGGAGCCGUAGCGAAAGCGAGUUUUAACUGAGCGUUCAGUUACUUGACGUAGACCCGAAACCGGGCGACCUACCCAUGAGCAGGAUGAAGCGAAAGUAAAAUGUCGUGGAGGUCCGAACCCACGAGCGUUGAAAAGCUCGGGGAUGACUUGUGGGUAGCGGUGAAAUUCCAAUCGAGCCCGGAGAUAGCUGGUUCUCCCCGAAAUAGCUUUAGGGCUAGCCUCAAGGUGAGAGAUACGGAGGUAGAGCACUGAAUGUCCUAGGGGGUAUUGCACCUACCGAAGACUAUCAAAC
RNAcentral lists this ribosomal RNA (420 nucleotides) under Clostridioides difficile. RNAcentral's name for it is "bacterial LSU rRNA". It matches the Rfam family "Bacterial large subunit ribosomal RNA", at positions 534 to 954 of the family's 2925-position model. The record is from RNAcentral. Lineage: Bacteria; Bacillati; Bacillota; Clostridia; Peptostreptococcales; Peptostreptococcaceae.